Long non-coding RNA from Humulus lupulus (European hop), 548 nucleotides. RefSeq lists it as uncharacterized. The record is from RefSeq and is a predicted model, not a curated record. NCBI's taxonomy places the organism in Eukaryota, Viridiplantae, Streptophyta, Magnoliopsida, Rosales, Cannabaceae. The transcript has 2 exons.
AUAUAUAUAUAUAUAUUGAUAAACAAGGCAAUAUAAGCAAUUAGCAAAAAAUCAUAAUAAUAUCAAGAUAUGAGGCAGCUAUUAUGGAUGGUCUUACGCUUCUUAUUUGUUAUUCUUAUUCUGUCUCAACAUCCCUCCUUUGCCGCUCCCGUCCGCUCCUGUAGUAAAGAAGAUAAUGAAGAACGAGGUGCUCUGGACUGUUCCCCAAAACGAGCUCCUCCACCCCCAGCAGGAGGUGUUGGUGGAAAUCAUUAACAAGAGACACUACAAGAAAUAAUAAUUUUAUACACGACUCUAUCAGGGCGAUUCUAUGUCGACUCUAAUAUUCAUAUUUAUAUAUAUAGCUAUUAAUCAUGAUGUUGUGAAAUUUUAUCAUAUGUCAACCGAUUAUAUAUGAUAACAUUCGUUCUACCUAUUUCGUUUGAUGUGGGAAUAUUGUGUUUUACUAUUUUCAUCACAUGUGUGCGUAAUGUAUUGCUCUGCAAACUCUUCUUGAAUAACUAUUUUCACAGUUAUAUUCUUCUCAAUAAAUUUUUGUCAUUUUAUUU